AAUUCUAAAAGUCAAACGCAAAGCAAAUCUCCACAACUUGAUAUAAAUUAAUUAAAAAUAUAAAAGCCAUGAUGAUGGGCUGCAUAAGGAAUGGAACGCAAACAGGAGGAGUUU
This is a long non-coding RNA of Thalassophryne amazonica, 114 nucleotides long. RefSeq lists it as uncharacterized. The record is from RefSeq and is a predicted model, not a curated record. NCBI's taxonomy places the organism in Eukaryota, Metazoa, Chordata, Actinopteri, Batrachoidiformes, Batrachoididae. The transcript has 3 exons.